UUUUGCCCCAGAUAGUAGUGUAAAGCUUUGCAUUUUUGCCUACUAUUUUUUCUAGAGCUGGCAGAGCGACCGUAGGAAGCUCCUGCUGGAUCCAAAGAAAAAAAGAGGGCAAAAAGGGAAACUUGUAACGAAUAGCUGGAACAGGC
Flavobacterium sp. FPG59 is the source of this 146-nucleotide small RNA. It matches the Rfam family "Flavo-1 RNA". Lineage: Bacteria; Pseudomonadati; Bacteroidota; Flavobacteriia; Flavobacteriales; Flavobacteriaceae. The record is from Rfam.